This 718-nucleotide long non-coding RNA is filed under the name Manihot esculenta (cassava). Its description in RNAcentral is "long non-coding RNA (MESC_LNC005938)". Lineage: Eukaryota; Viridiplantae; Streptophyta; Magnoliopsida; Malpighiales; Euphorbiaceae. The record is from RNAcentral.
UAAAUGGACCUACCUCAACCUUUGGAGUUCUCAUGGUUUCAAUAGCCAUCAUCUCCUUUUUCUUCCUUUACUUCUUAUAAAAAAUUAUACAAAAUAAUCUCAACUAUCCAUCAUCAAUCAAUCUUGAUCGUUUCUUUUCCUACUAUAUAUUUGUUCUUUUCUUUCUCUAAACCUUAGCGUCCCUUGUUUUUCUCCUUCCUCAUUUAUGUCACUACCGUUUUCUUUCUUCUCAAUGAUCUUCCUCUUCAUCAUCUCCUUUUCUUCUUUUUUGACUACCCUUGCUUUUCUCUCUUCUUGGCACGUCAACACAUUCAAAAACUUGCAACGACCAUGAUUCAUUCCUCCAGAAAUGAAGAUAAAAGUCCCCACAUUGAUGCUGUUAUGAAGCUGUCGAUGGUGGAAGCCAAGGUUGAAUCCAUUACAGAUGAAGCCACGAUGUUAUGAUGGCGAUGAAGUUGUUGACGCUAUGAUGGAGACAAAGCUGAUGGUCAUUGAUCCUUCAAGUCCUCGCGCUCCACUUUUCUUGGGCCAUUGAAGCAUGAUCUUCUUGGAUCUUCACUUUAGAAAGCAAGCUCAUGAAUAAAUCACUUGUUUUUUAGUUUAUGUUUGAAUCCUGUUUGAUAAAAUUGCUCAAAGGAAGCAUAAAUAUAUUUAUAUUUCUAAUUGAAUUUUGGAUUUGAUUUGUAUCCAGUGUUCAUUAAUUCAUAUAAAUGUGGGC